GAUGAAGAACGUAGCGAAAUGCGAUAAGUAAUGCGAAUUGCAGAAUUCAGUGAAUCAUCGAAUCUUUGAACGCACAUUGCGCCCGCCAGUAUUCUGGCGGGCAUGCCUGUCUGAGCGUCGUUUCGACCCUCGCGCCCGGCUUCUGUCGGGGGCGGUGUUGGGGAUCGGCCACACCCUUCAGUGGGAGGCCGGCCCCUAAAUUCAGUGGCGACCACGCUGUAGCCUCCCCUGCGUAGUACUAAAACCACCUCGCAGGCGGAGAGCGGUGCGGCCCGCCGUAAAACCCCCCAACUUUUACAAGGUCGACCUCAGAUCAGGUAGGAAUACCCGCUGAACUUAAGCAUACAAUAAGCGGAGGA
This 359-nucleotide unclassified non-coding RNA is filed under the name soil metagenome. Its description in RNAcentral is "partial contains 5.8S ribosomal RNA, internal transcribed spacer 2, and large subunit ribosomal RNA". The stretch from base 1 to 120 matches the Rfam family "5.8S ribosomal RNA", at positions 35 to 154 of the family's 154-position model. The record is from RNAcentral.